Molecule: ribosomal RNA, 253 nt
Filed under: uncultured bacterium
Lineage: Bacteria
Description: partial 16S ribosomal RNA
Rfam family: Bacterial small subunit ribosomal RNA
Source: RNAcentral
UACAGAGGUCCCAAGCGUUGUCCGGAAUCACUGGGCGUAAAGGGCGCGUAGGUGGCCCGUUAAGUGGCUGGUGAAAUCCUGUGGCUUAACUGCAGGGCUGCCUCCUAGACUGUUAGGCUCGAGCACGGUAGAGGCAGAUGGAAUUCCCGGUGUAGCGGUGGAAUGCGUAGAGAUCGGGAAGAACAUCGGUGGCGAAGGCGGCAUCCUGGACCAAUAUUGACGCUGAGGAGCGAAAGCCAGGGGAGCAAACGGG